This 429-nucleotide ribosomal RNA is filed under the name Chloroflexota bacterium. RNAcentral's name for it is "Chloroflexi bacterium partial 16S ribosomal RNA". It matches the Rfam family "Bacterial small subunit ribosomal RNA", at positions 355 to 776 of the family's 1533-position model. Lineage: Bacteria; Bacillati; Chloroflexota. The record is from RNAcentral. RNAcentral also lists the same sequence under 1 other name.
UAGGGAAUCUUCGGCAAUGGACGAAAGUCUGACCGAGCAACGCCGCGUGAGUGAAGAAGGUUUUUGGAUCGUAAAACUCUGUUGUUAGAGAAGAACAAGGACGUUAGUAACUGAACGUCCCCUGACGGUAUCUAACCAGAAAGCCACGGCUAACUACGUGCCAGCAGCCGCGGUAAUACGUAGGUGGCAAGCGUUGUCCGGAUUUAUUGGGCGUAAAGCGAGCGCAGGCGGUUUCUUAAGUCUGAUGUGAAAGCCCCCGGCUCAACCGGGGAGGGUCAUUGGAAACUGGGAGACUUGAGUGCAGAAGAGGAGAGUGGAAUUCCAUGUGUAGCGGUGAAAUGCGUAGAUAUAUGGAGGAACACCAGUGGCGAAGGCGGCUCUCUGGUCUGUAACUGACGCUGAGGCUCGAAAGCGUGGGGAGCAAACAGG